CUGUGCUCUCUGGCUCUUUUCCUAAAUUAUACUCAAUUUAAGAGGAGGGAAAAGCGGAAACUGGAAGCGCAGUCCCUGUGAAUGGGAGAGUGGAUGAAGAAAAAUCUCCUUAAGGAAGAACAAGAGCAUACCCUGGGUUUACAUUGAACGUGGUUUCUGGUGGUCAUGUUUAUGAAGGGAAAUAGGAAGCUCCCAUGGGCCACAAGAACACGGCAGAAUACUGAGUCGCAAGGAGAAGAGCAAGAGAGCGUACUUCUCAUGGUAAGUCACGCCUGGAAACUUCUCUUCACCCUCUUGCACCUAUUCCACUUGGGUUCUUCUGGAUUAGUUACUACAGAGCGUUUUGUUAACUGUGUAUGUACCUUUAAAUGUUUUAAAUAGGUUUGUAGAAUAUAAUAAAAACAAGAGAAAUGUGACAGAGUUUACUAUGAAUAUAUUAUAAAGCUGAACACAAUUAGGUUUUAUUUUAAAAUCUGUAUUGAGUUUGGUGCAAACAUUAUUGCAGUUUUUGCCAUUAUUUUUAACAGCAAAAAUAGCUAUUACUUUUGCACCAACCUAAUACAAACCAUAAAUGUGACUCCCAAGACAAGGAGUAAACUCUGAGCCAGGCAAGGUGAGUUGAAUAAGAAAUUAUACCACCUGCUAUUAGAAAGAUUGGCAGGUGGUUAAACACAAACACACCUAUGUAUUUAAAUGCUAGCAUUUAAAUAUAGUGGUCUCUCCUUAUCCACGGUUUCGCUUUUCGUGGUUUCAGUGACCCACAGUGCAGUACAAUAACAUAGUUUGAGGCAGAGAAAGAGGGGCCAUUCACAGGACUUUUAUGCAGUGUAUUGUUACAAUUGUUAGUUACUGGGAUAUUUUACUAUUAUUGUUUUACUAUUAGUUACCGUUAUUUUUUUAUUUUAUUAUUAGUCACAAUUUUUUAUCAUUUUUUAUUAUUGUUUUAGUUACUCUUGUUCAUCUCUUACUUUGCCUGACUUUAAACUAAACUUUGUCAUAGGUAUGUAGGCACAGGGAAACACAGCACAAACAAGGCCCAGCACGAGUCUUGGUUUGGCAUCACUGGGAGUCUGGGAAUAUGUCCCUGAGGGUCAGGGGCUCCUGUUCAAGCCCAUAUCCCCUCAGAGGCAGCCAUCAUUUAAAACAAGAAUCGCAGAUGACAACCCCAUAAUACUAGAGAAAUAAAGCCUGAUGCUAAUUUAUCACUUUCUCCGAU
Molecule: long non-coding RNA, 1216 nt
Filed under: Cebus imitator (Panamanian white-faced capuchin)
Lineage: Eukaryota; Metazoa; Chordata; Mammalia; Primates; Cebidae
Description: lncRNA (ENSCCAG00000038268.1)
Source: RNAcentral